GUGAGUCAUCGAAUCUUUGAACGCACAUUGCGCCUGCUAGCAUUCUGGCAGGCAUGCCUGUUCGAGCGUCAUUUCAACCCUCAAGCUUUUGCUUGGUGUUGAGGUUCUAUAAUUAUAGGCCUCUAAAUCUAUUGGCAGAACGUCAUAAACUCUCAAUUGUAGUAAAUUUUAUUUCUAUUGAAGAAUUUGGACUGCUCUAGCCGUAAAACACAGCGUGCUCUUUUGAGCCCUAUUUUUACAAGGUUGACCUCGGAUCAGGUAGGGAUACCCGCUGAACUUAAGCAUAUCAAUAAGCGGAGG
This 300-nucleotide unclassified non-coding RNA is filed under the name uncultured Sporidesmiella. RNAcentral describes it as "sequence contains 5.8S rRNA gene, ITS2". The stretch from base 1 to 71 matches the Rfam family "5.8S ribosomal RNA", at positions 84 to 154 of the family's 154-position model. The record is from RNAcentral. Lineage: Eukaryota; Fungi; Ascomycota.